Molecule: ribosomal RNA, 498 nt
Filed under: uncultured bacterium
Lineage: Bacteria
Description: partial 16S ribosomal RNA
Rfam family: Bacterial small subunit ribosomal RNA
Source: RNAcentral
AUUGAACGCUGGCGGCAUGCCUUACACAUGCAAGUCGAACGGUAACGCGGGGCAACCUGGCGACGAGUGGCGAACGGGUGAGUAACGUAUCGGAACGUGCCCAGUAGUGGGGGAUAGCCCGGCGAAAGCCGGAUUAAUACCGCAUACGACCUACGGGUGAAAGAGGGGGAUCGCAAGACCUCUCGCUAUUGGAGCGGCCGAUGUCAGAUUAGGUAGUUGGUGGGGUAAAGGCCUACCAAGCCUACGAUCUGUAGCUGGUCUGAGAGGACGACCAGCCACACUGGGACUGGGACACAGCCCAGACUCCUACGGGAGGCAGCAGUGGAGAAGUUUGGAAAAUGGGCGCAAGCCUGAUCCAGCCAUGCCGCGUGCGGGAAGAAGGCCUUCGGGUUGUAAACCGCUUUUGUCAGGGAAGAAACGCUCUGGACUAAUAAUCUGGGGUAAUGACGGUACCUGAAGAAUAAGCACCGGCUAACUACGUGCCAGCCGCCGCCGUAA